CGAACGCUGGCGGCAUGCCUAACACAUGCAAGUCGAACGAACCCUUCGGGGCUAGUGGCGCACGGGUGCGUAACACGUGGGAAUCUGCCUUUUGCUUCGGAAUAACAGUUAGAAAUGACUGCUAAUACCGGAUAAUGUCGUAAGACCAAAGAUUUAUCGGCAAAAGAUGAGCCCGCGUAGGAUUAGCUAGUUGGUGGGGUAAAGGCCUACCAAGGCGACGAUCCUUAGCUGGUCUGAGAGGAUGAUCAGCCACACUGGGACUGAGACACGGCCCAGACUCCUACGGGAGGCAGCAGUGGGGAAUAUUGGACAAUGGGCGAAAGCCUGAUCCAGCAAUGCCGCGUGAGUGAUGAAGGCCUUAGGGUUGUAAAGCUCUUUUACCAGGGAUGAUAAUGGCAGUACCUGGAGAAUAAGCUCCGGCUAACUCCGUGCCAGCAGCCGCGGUAAUCUGAUGGCGCGAGG
RNAcentral lists this ribosomal RNA (462 nucleotides) under uncultured bacterium. RNAcentral's name for it is "bacterial SSU rRNA". It matches the Rfam family "Bacterial small subunit ribosomal RNA", at positions 30 to 539 of the family's 1533-position model. The record is from RNAcentral.